AUGAGAAAAGGUGUAACUUAUCUCAGACAUACAGAAAUGAAAAUAAAGCUAUGCACAGAGAAAAGCACUAUAAUCCAUCCAUCAUUGUUGGUUCACCAUUCUAAAGGAAAGACUCAUAGUGGUGCAUCUAGGAGGAAGGGAUCUAGAGACAGCGAUGGGCAAAACAAUCCUGUGGAGGCAGCAAGAGGCAGUUCUCGACAAAUCACUAUUAAGCGCAAGGGUCCAAUGGAAGAAUUUGGUGAAGAACAAGGUCUCCAUCAUUUGGCGUCAAGGAAGGGAAGACCAUGUCAUCAUUUGGCCAGUCCAGGUCCCCAUGCCCCUGUAUCUUCCCUCGAAGCCGGGUUCCGCGAGCUAAGGUUGCAGGGGAGAAUGAACGUGCAAGUUUGCAGCAUCAAAUGUUUUUCUACAUUUGAUGGGUAG
RNAcentral lists this ribosomal RNA (420 nucleotides) under Triticum aestivum (bread wheat). Its description in RNAcentral is "partial small subunit ribosomal RNA". Lineage: Eukaryota; Viridiplantae; Streptophyta; Magnoliopsida; Poales; Poaceae. The record is from RNAcentral.